GUUUGAAAGAGGGAAAUCCAACGAUAUUUUUUACUUUGUACAAUUUUUAUGAUGGUAAUGAAUGUUGAUGGUGAUGAUCAUGAUGAUGAUACUUAAUGGUUGAUCUUGAUGAUGGUAGUAGAGAGAAAACAGAGAUAAUGGAGAGAGAGAAGUUUUAUAUAUUAUUAUAUAUAAAUAUAUAAAUAUAAUUUAAAUAAAUCAGGAUAUAAAGACAUAAAUACUCUCAUGUGUAAGGCACAUGUUAUAUUUAACUAAAAAAUUUAACCUGGUUAGUGUUAAAGGACGUAUAGUGUAAUGAGUUUUACAAAUAAAGGACUGUGACUGUAAUUAUUGAUGUUAAAGGCUAUCAAUUGCACUCCGAUACAUACAUAAAGGACGAAAAGUGUAAUUUACCCAUGUUUUAGAGAAACAAUAUUGAAGCACAAAUGGAAAUAACACUAGCAAAAGGGUCAAGAUUUUCUUGAGGGGUGAUUAAGCAACCUCCGACAAAAAAAAUUACUUGCAGAGGAUCUUAGAUACGAAAAGAACAGAAGUAUGUUGAAAGCAGUCUCAAGGAAAGAAUCACACAGAUUGUCAUCCUGAUCUCAUUUGUGGAUAAAGACCAGAAGAAAGACAAGAAUUAAUGUGUCCAUUAUAUAAAUGCAGAUUUUCAUGAUAUGCAGCUUGUCUUACACGUAAUGAUUUUUAUUUUCAAAUCAAGAUAUUUUUUUAAAACUUUACCAGACGACAGUCUUUAUGUUGGUACUAAGUUCAUAAUUUAAUAGGGUCAAUAGGUCUGUCCUCAAGAAUCAAACGUUGAAGCAACGUUUAACAAUCUUUAUUUUUUGUGUCAGGUUUCAGGUCGAAUCAAGAAUUGCCGCCCCUUAACAGGGGGUGGAGUGGGUUUUAUAUAAAAUAUUUUGUUUUUUAAGAUGCCAAAA
Helianthus annuus (common sunflower) is the source of this 920-nucleotide long non-coding RNA. RefSeq lists it as uncharacterized. NCBI's taxonomy places the organism in Eukaryota, Viridiplantae, Streptophyta, Magnoliopsida, Asterales, Asteraceae. The record is from RefSeq and is a predicted model, not a curated record. The transcript has 2 exons.